This 607-nucleotide ribosomal RNA is filed under the name uncultured bacterium. Its description in RNAcentral is "bacterial SSU rRNA". It matches the Rfam family "Bacterial small subunit ribosomal RNA", at positions 202 to 797 of the family's 1533-position model. The record is from RNAcentral.
GAAAGAUGGUUCUGCUAUCACUCUUGGAUGGACCUGCGGUGCAUUAGCUAGUUGGUAAGGUAACGGCUUACCAAGGCAAUGAUGCAUAGCCGAGUUGAGAGACUGAUCGGCCACAUUGGGACUGAGACACGGCCCAAACUCCUACGGGAGGCAGCAGUAGGGAAUCUUCCACAAUGGACGAAAGUCUGAUGGAGCAACGCCGCGUGAGUGAAGAAGGGUUUCGGCUCGUAAAGCUCUGUUGGUAGUGAAGAAAGAUAGAGGUAGUAACUGGCCUUUAUUUGACGGUAAUUACUUAGAAAGUCACGGCUAACUACGUGCCAGCAGCCGCGGUAAUACGUAGGUGGCAAGCGUUGUCCGGAUUUAUUGGGCGUAAAGCGAAUGCAGGCGGUUCAAUAAGUCUGAUGUGAAAGCCUUCGGCUCAACCGGAGAAUUGCAUCAGAAACUGUUGAACUUGAGUGCAGAAGAGGAGAGUGGAACUCCAUGUGUAGCGGUGGAAUGCGUAGAUAUAUGGAAGAACACCAGUGGCGAAGGCGGCUCUCUGGUCUGCAACUGACGCUGAGGCUCGAAAGCAUGGGUAGCGAACAGGAUUAGAUACCCUGGUAGUCCA